Molecule: ribosomal RNA, 1376 nt
Filed under: uncultured bacterium
Lineage: Bacteria
Description: bacterial SSU rRNA
Rfam family: Bacterial small subunit ribosomal RNA
Source: RNAcentral
AGAGUUUGAUCCUGGCUCAGGAUGAACGCUGGCGGCGUGCCUAACACAUGCAAGUCGAACGGAGUUAUGAGAGCUUGCUUUUAUAACUUAGUGGCGGACGGGUGAGUAAUGCGUGAGCAACCUGCCUUUCAGAGGGGGACAACAGUUGGAAACGACUGCUAAUACCGCAUAACGUAUUCGGAUGGCAUCAUCUGGAUACCAAAGGAGCAAUCCGCUGAAAGAUGGGCUCACGUCUGAUUAGUUAGUUGGCAGGGUAACGGCCUACCAAGACUGCGAUCAGUAGCCGGACUGAGAGGGUGAUCGGCCACAUUGGGACUGAGACACGGCCCACACUCCUACGGGAGGCAGCAGUGGGGAAUAUUGCACAAUGGGGGAAACCCUGAUGCACCAACGCCGCGUGAGUGAUGACGGUCUUCGGAUUGUAAAGCUCUGUCUUCAGGGACGAUAAUGACGGUACCUGACUAAGAAGCCCCGGCUAACUACGUGCCAGCAGCCGCGGUAAUACGUAGGUGGCAAGCGUUAUCCGGAUUUACUGGGUGUAAAGGGAGCGUAGACGGCAUGGCAAGUCUGAAGUGAAAGCUCGGGGCUCAACCCAGAAACUGCUUUUGAAACUGUUUCCCUUGAGUAUCGGAGAGGCAGGCGGAAUUCCUAGUGUAGCGGUGAAAUGCGUAGAUAUUAGGAAGAACACCGGUGGCGAAGGCGGCCUGCUGGACGACAACUGACGCUGAGGCGCGAAAGCGUGGGGAGCAAACAGGAUUAGAUACCCUGGUAGUCCACGCUGUAAACGAUGAAUACUAGGUGUGGGGGGACUGACCCCUUCCGUGCCGCAGUUAACACAAUAAGUAUUCCUCCUGGGGAGUACGAUCGCAAGAUUGAAACUCAAAGGAAUUGACGGGGGCCCGCACAAGCAGUGGAUUAUGUGGUUUAAUUCGACGCAACGCGAAGAACCUUACCAGGAUUUGACAUCCCGCUAACGAAGUAGAGAUACAUUAGGUGCCUUUCGGGGAAAGCGGAGACAGGUGGUGCAUGGUUGUCGUCAGCUCGUGUCGUGAGAUGUUGGGUUAAGUCCCGCAACGAGCGCAACCCUUACGGUCAGUUGCUACGCAAGAGCACUCUGGCCGGACUGCCGUUGACAAAACGGAGGAAGGUGGGGACGACGUCAAAUCAUCAUGCCCCUUACGCCCUGGGCUACACACGUACUACAAUGGCGCAAACAAAGGGAAGCAAAACCGCGAGGUAGAGCAAAACCCAUAAAAGGCGUCCCAGUUCGGACUGCAGGCUGCAACUCGCCUGCACGAAGUUGGAAUUGCUAGUAAUCGCGGAUCAGCAUGCCGCGGUGAAUACGUUCCCGGGCUUUGUACACACCGCCCGUCAAG